Molecule: ribosomal RNA, 497 nt
Filed under: uncultured bacterium
Lineage: Bacteria
Description: partial 16S ribosomal RNA
Rfam family: Bacterial small subunit ribosomal RNA
Source: RNAcentral
GAUGAACGCUGGCGGCGUGCCUAAUACAUGCAAGCCGAGCGAACGGACGAGAAGCUUGCUUCUCUGAUGUUAGCGGCGGACGGGUGAGUAACACGUGGAUAACCUACCUAUAAGACUGGGAUAACUUCGGGAAACCGGAGCUAAUACCGGAUGAUAUUUUGAACCGCAUGGUUCAAAAGUGAAAGACGGUCUUGCUGUCACUUAUAGAUGGAUCCGCGCUGCAUUAGCUAGUUGGUAAGGUAACGGCUUACCAAGGCAACGAUGCAUAGCCGACCUGAGAGGGUGAUCGGCCACACUGGAACUGAGACACGGUCCAGACUCCUACGGGAGGCAGCAGUAGGGAAUCUUACGCAAUGGGCGAAAGCCUGACGGAGCAACGCCGCGUGAGUGAUGAAGGUCUUCGGAUCGUAAAACUCUGUUAUUAGGGAAGAACAUAUGUGUAAGUAACUGUGCACAUCUUGACGGUACCUAAUCAGAAAGCCACGGCUAACUACGUG